This 68-nucleotide transfer RNA is filed under the name Sphaerodactylus townsendi. RNAcentral's name for it is "tRNA-Thr". The record is from RNAcentral. Lineage: Eukaryota; Metazoa; Chordata; Lepidosauria; Squamata; Sphaerodactylidae.
GGAGGCCUCAGUGGUAGAGCUUCUAUUAGGUAUGCAGAAGGCCCUCGGUUCGAUCCCUAGCACCUCCA